CUGCGUGCCUUGCGCCGCGCGCCGGUGGCGCCGGGAGAUGGAGGCAGGAACGGAGCGCGCAGGAACAGGCGCUGGCGCCCCAGCGGAACCCGGAAGCGGCGAGUGACGUCACGGAACAUUUUCAGAGCAUGGAGAGCGUGUACAGCCCAGCCAGCCUGGGAGACCCCAAACAACUCUUCCAAGAGGAGAGGAAUCCAUGGAAUAAGCUGACAAGGGCCCUGGAAGCCAAUCAUUAUAUGGAGGCUCAAAAAAAGCUGGAGAGACCACACUGCAAAGAUCUGAGCACCCAGCAACGAGCAAGUUUGUGAGCAACACCAAGGAACACGUCUUCAUCAUCUGCAAUGAAGAAGAGCAGAGCUUCAGGCCUUCUCCUGCAUUCUCAGUGCUCCACCCAGCAACCACAAUGCAGGGUGACAGUUUGGAUCUCAGCACCUCGAGGACAUCCUCAGGAGAGAGCGGCUGCCAGGCCAAGCUGUCCCUCCUCCCCAGGCCCAGGCUCUCCCUAAAGCCAAGUGCUGUGACUGAGCCCAUCUCAGCCCUGCUCCCAUACACAAACCUCACUGUCUCCCUGGGACACGCUAAUCCCACUGUCUGUCUUCUCAUCCCAAAUACAGGAACAACCACCCUUGCUCCUGUUGCACCCUCUGAAAGCAUCAGCAUUGUGCUGGCUGAGGCAGAUAUUAUUACCCAGGUUGCACAAAGCACAAGUACCUUGGAUAAGGACACAGAGUCACUGUCAGCUUGUGUCCUAAAGCCACCCCUCCACAACACUGCUGGUUUUUGGCACCUAUGCCUGACAUAAGAAGCAGAAAGAAGACAGCCCAGUUACAUGUCCCAGCUGAAAUGUGCAGCAUUAGCAAGCCACACAUCAUCUGCACUCCAUGCAGGCAGAUCCACAAGGCUGUUCCCCUGCCUGAGUCACAGCCUGAAGUUGGCCAUUUCUGGGGACACAGACUGUAACUCCUCAGGGGGUAACUCCCCAGCCACCCAGCAAGUUCUAGUCCAGCACUGUGAGGGUCCACAUGCACAUAAAUGACCAGUUCUCAUGUUCAUUCACACAGAGAUGCUCCAGGACUGAAGCACUUGAGCAUCCAGAGGAGAAGGACUGGAUAUUAAAUAAAACAUGAACAGUAAUAGGCACUAAACAUAAGGACAGUGGCUUUUCCCUCCCUUUGUGUCUUUAUUGGAAGCUCAUGGUCCAGUGUGGCUGAGUUUCUUAGGUAUCGUGGGCAUGAUACGCUCACAGAUACCAUUUGAGCUAUCUAAAUUAGGUUAAACUAGGCCUCAGGCCUAGGUCUAGUAGGCUGCAAAACGUUUAACAUACGUAGUAGUAGAUAAACUUAUCUUUUACUAAGUAUGUGUUAAAGUAUAGACGCUUGCAGCAUAGAAGUAAUAGCACUAAAUCUCUGUAGUUACUUUAACUCUAGAUUGCUUACAUACUUUUGUAUGUUCACCGCUUAUCACAGUACACCUGCUAACUGUAAACUAUUCGUGUUGUACUUAACUAGCCAUCUCACAGAAUAA
This is a long non-coding RNA of Prinia subflava (tawny-flanked prinia), 1524 nucleotides long. RefSeq lists it as uncharacterized. Lineage: Eukaryota; Metazoa; Chordata; Aves; Passeriformes; Cisticolidae. The record is from RefSeq and is a predicted model, not a curated record. The transcript is spliced from 3 exons.